Rhipicephalus microplus (southern cattle tick) is the source of this 961-nucleotide long non-coding RNA. The record is from RefSeq and is a predicted model, not a curated record. Lineage: Eukaryota; Metazoa; Arthropoda; Arachnida; Ixodida; Ixodidae.
UCCUCGAUGCGCGCUCUCCCCUCCGCCGCCUUGGAGGGUGGAGUCAUUCUGUGAGGGGGUGAAUGCCGCCUUCCGAUCGGCGGCCGCCAUUCGGCUCCCCCCCGCCUCGCUAGAGUGUGCUAGCCCCGUCGCGUCUGGUUUGUGUGAGACAGGUGCGCGGCGUUUUAUAGCGUUUUCUCGGGCAAAAUGCCCGGGUGUUGCGUGCCACAGUGCACAAACCACUCGCGAAAUGGCUAUAGGAUGUUCAGAUUUCCGAAAGAUCCGAAAAGGCGACUCCUGUGGCUGGUAAAGAUCAAGCGCGACAAGUGGCAACCCACGGACCGUUCGUGUUUGUGCAGCGGACAUUUCGAAGAAACCGCAUUUGAGCAGAACCGUGCGGACGGCUAGAAAAAAUUGAAGCCGAAUGCUCUGCCAACAAUCUUUUCGUUCAGAGCGAUGCCUAAGCACAGGAAGCCACCAAAAGAAAGGUUUUUACCACAACGGACGCCUGCGGCCGCAGAAGAAAGUUGUUCUCUGCACAGUCAACCCCAUGCUUCUGAUACCUCAGCGACAGAAAUUCAAGAACAUGUCAACGACAUAGCUGGUAUGCAACAAACAGCAAAUCAAGAAUUGCAGCCACUACCGAGUGAUGGCACGGAGAUGUCUCGUGAUCAGAUGAGCAACUUACCUAGCCCAAGUGCCACGGCAGAAACUGAAGUUCCUACAACAGAUGAUUCUCAGCUAGUUGCAUGCCCACUUUCCGCAACCCAUGUUGAAUUGUCGGAAGAGAAGUGCGUGUGUUUCGCAUCUUUAACCAGUAUAAAUAGUUACCGACUAGCCCAAGAAGAUGCUAACUGAAGAUGUUAACGUGGCUGGCGUGGACGGUAGUAUUCUGCUGCGAACAACUCCAGCUGCUAAUGUCGCUUUAAAAAUAAAGAUUAGAGAAUAGAAAUCUGAGACCUUGACACUCCCGAUGCGAAAA